CUAGAACUGCUUCAGUUUCAUUUUUCUAGCAACUACGGAUCCCUUAUUACACUUGUAAACUGUUUACUGCCAUUUAAUCAACGGCUUAACGAAUUGUUCUGUACCCGGGAGAACUUAAACAGAUUCAUUAAUGGCUACGAAAUUUAGGCCUGGUGAUGGUGACUGGACAUGUCCUGACGAAAGCUGUGGUAACGUCAAUUUUGCACGGAGAAGUGCCUGCAACCGUUGUGGCAAAGCAAAAGAAGAUGACAAAGCAAAGGCAAAAAAGCUUGGCAUGGAAAUCGGGAAAGAUGCAGCGGAAAAAAGCAAAGGUCUUUUCAGUGCAGAUGAUUGGAUGUGUACCAAGUGCGGAAAUGUUAACUGGGCAAGGAGGGGAACUUGCAAUGUUUGCAAUGCACCUCGAUUUGGUGAAGUGGAAGAACGAACAGGUUAUGGAGGUGGUUACAAUGAACGUGGAACUGUCGAAUAUAAGGAAAGACAAGAAUCUGACGACGAAUUUGAUGAAUUUGGACGGAUAAAGAAAAAGUUUCGAAAAAAUGAUGUGAACUCACCGUUGAACGAGCUGCCUUCAACGUCACAUGAUCAACAUAUCGUAGCGGACGAUGAAGAGGAGGAAGAAGAUGAUGACGAUGGAGAUCUAUCAAAAUACGAUCUUAGCGGUUGGGGUGAUGAUGACAAUGAAAAUCCGGAAGAAAAGAAGUCUUCACCUACCAACGAUGUCCCGAAAAAAGCUGAAAACGGUAGCAAAUCUAGCGCAACACGCCAAUCAGAGAAGUCCAAGUCUCCUUGUCGAUCCAGAUCGUCUUCUCGUUCCGGUUCUAGGUCAAGGUAACACCCGGUAGCGACACCCAGGCUAUCGGGGAAAAAUUUCUGUUUUUCUUGUUGAAUCGAAAUGGCCCGAAAUUUUUGUGUUUGGCCAUCAAAAUUAUCAUUUUUGAUAUUUGGUAACCGCUUGUAAGGUCCGUAUCUCAUUCGAACCCAAACGGUUAUUCGAACCAUUUUCAAGUUUAAUUACAGAAGAACUGUAGACUACGUAGGAUUUUUCUAUAGCAGGAGCAGAAAGUCGGAUAAGCGCAGCGAUCGCCGUCGACGCCGUUCUAGAUCUACAAGCGACUUUUCUCGCAGCCGAUCGCGGUCCAGGUCUCGUUCCAGAAACCGCAGACGUCGUUAAAUAACUCCCCAACUUCAAUUAGAGUAAGCUGAUUGUUUACCGACCGAACCGCUUGCAAACUAUUUUCUUUUCACCCAUGGUUUAGUGAUUUAGUAAUCAUUUUUCACCUUACUGCAAUUUAUUUUCUCAUUGCAGAAAUAAACAACAUUUACUUCCAA
Daphnia magna is the source of this 1329-nucleotide RNA transcript. It is a transcript of the gene named zinc finger Ran-binding domain-containing protein 2, with no coding region annotated. NCBI's taxonomy places the organism in Eukaryota, Metazoa, Arthropoda, Branchiopoda, Diplostraca, Daphniidae. The transcript is spliced from 8 exons. The record is from RefSeq and is a predicted model, not a curated record.